UGGGGAAUAUUGCACAAUAGGCGCAAGCCUGAUGCAGCCAUGCCGCGUGUAUGAAGAAGGCCUUCGGGUUGUAAAGUACUUUCAGCGGGGAGGAAGGGAGUAAAGUUAAUACCUUUGCUCAUUGACGUUACCCGCAGAAGAAGCACCGGCUAACUCCGUGCCAGCAGCCGCGGUAAUACGGAGGGUGCAAGCGUUAAUCGGAAUUACUGGGCGUAAAGCGCACGCAGGCGGUUUGUUAAGUCAGAUGUGAAAUCCCCGGGCUCAACCUGGGAACUGCAUCUGAUACUGGCAAGCUUGAGUCUCGUAGAGGGGGGUAGAAUUCCAGGUGUAGCGGUGAAAUGCGUAGAGAUCUGGAGGAAUACCGGUGGCGAAGGCGGCCCCCUGGACGAAGACUGACGCUCAGGUGCGAAAGCGUAGGGAGCAAACAGG
This 429-nucleotide ribosomal RNA is filed under the name Chloroflexota bacterium. RNAcentral describes it as "Chloroflexi bacterium partial 16S ribosomal RNA". It matches the Rfam family "Bacterial small subunit ribosomal RNA", at positions 355 to 776 of the family's 1533-position model. Lineage: Bacteria; Bacillati; Chloroflexota. The record is from RNAcentral.